GAGUUCACCGGGUCGUGUAGGAUGAAGAACCGUAGAGGUUCGAGCAGCGCGCAGCGAUACGACAACGCGCAGCGUUGCCCGCAGGGUGAGGCCACAGGCCGAAUCAAUCCUGCACGACCCACCA
Molecule: small RNA, 124 nt
Filed under: Serratia ureilytica
Lineage: Bacteria; Pseudomonadati; Pseudomonadota; Gammaproteobacteria; Enterobacterales; Yersiniaceae
Also listed under: 2 other names
Description: RtT sRNA
Rfam family: RtT RNA
About the family: This family represents a bacterial cis-regulatory element known as RtT RNA.
Source: RNAcentral